Molecule: unclassified non-coding RNA, 346 nt
Filed under: Hevea brasiliensis (rubber tree)
Lineage: Eukaryota; Viridiplantae; Streptophyta; Magnoliopsida; Malpighiales; Euphorbiaceae
Source: RNAcentral
CACAUCCAGAGCUAUCUGAAUAAAAAGGUUGAUGAACUCCCAAUAACCUGGGGGCUUUGGGUUGAGAAACAGAGGCCUCAAAGCAUAGAAGAAGAGUUGGAAGAUAACCCAUACAGAUUUUGUGACAACAUUCGUCACAAGAUGGCCUUCAACACUGCUUGGGAUAUCCAUAUCAAUCCCAUCUACUCCUUGGAAGCGAUGGUGUUCAAGAUGAUACUUCUGGAAGGUUACAGACAUGGGUAUACCAAUUGGUAGGUUAGCAAAAAUCCCAAGCCAACGGUUGUAAACAGGAAUUGAGAAAGCAAGAUUGUGACUGAGCUCAUGUAUGGCUAAGAAAAGAUUGUGG